RNAcentral lists this long non-coding RNA (604 nucleotides) under Hordeum vulgare. Its description in RNAcentral is "long non-coding RNA (HVUL_LNC006524)". The record is from RNAcentral. Lineage: Eukaryota; Viridiplantae; Streptophyta; Magnoliopsida; Poales; Poaceae.
UCCUCCACCUCUCGGCACAUUUCUUUCACCUUUAUGUCUCCUUCAAAGUUAAUCACAGGAUCUUCUCUCUGUUUCCUCAUGUUCUUCAGCUGAUCAAUAAUUUCAUUUUCCUCCUCUACAGCUUUGUUAUACUCUUCCGGUUUGUACUCACACCAGUUGAAAUAAACAAAUUCAUCAUCAUCUGAGGGGCCAUAGUAUUCCUGAGCUUUCUUUUUUACCCUUGGCCUUCUGCAAAUUCAUGCUAUCCUAUGUGUUCAGAAAAACAAUAUGUUCACCUGGUUGUGUGUACAUAUAGGCACAUCAUACAGCUCCUCACUGCUAGCUUUUUCAAAAGGAAACAAUACCCCGACCUCAUCUAUACUGAUUAUGUUGGAUUGCCCAACCUGGUCUAUUGGUAUCUGGGCCUCUCAUGAGUUUCCUAUGUUCAAAUAUCCAGGAUUAGGCUCAGUAGCCUUUAUUACAGUGAUGUUCAAACUUCUUCACUGUCUAUGACCUGCAAUCCUGCUGACCGCUGUCGCUCAUCUUUCACAUAGAAAAUGUAGUCGGCUUGAGUAUAUUCCUCCUCAGUCACCAUCAGUGUUAACAGGUUUAUGAAUGUUAUUUC